GACGAACGCUGGCGGCGUGCCUAAUACAUGCAAGUAGAACGCUGAAGGAGGAGCUUGCUUCUCUGGAUGAGUUGCGAACGGGUGAGUAACGCGUAGGUAACCUGCCUGGUAGCGGGGGAUAACUAUUGGAAACGAUAGCUAAUACCGCAUAAGAGUAGAUGUUGCAUGACAUUUGCUUAAAAGGUGCAAUUGCAUCACUACCAGAUGGACCUGCGUUGUAUUAGCUAGUUGGUGGGGUAACGGCUCACCAAGGCGACGAUACAUAGCCGACCUGAGAGGGUGAUCGGCCACACUGGGACUGAGACACGGCCCAGACUCCUACGGGAGGCAGCAGUAGGGAAUCUUCGGCAAUGGACGGAAGUCUGACCGAGCAACGCCGCGUGAGUGAAGAAGGUUUUCGGAUCGUAAAGCUCUGUUGUAAGAGAAGAACGAGUGUGAGAGUGGAAAGUUCACA
RNAcentral lists this ribosomal RNA (454 nucleotides) under Streptococcus mitis. RNAcentral describes it as "bacterial SSU rRNA". It matches the Rfam family "Bacterial small subunit ribosomal RNA", at positions 28 to 468 of the family's 1533-position model. Lineage: Bacteria; Bacillati; Bacillota; Bacilli; Lactobacillales; Streptococcaceae. The record is from RNAcentral.